GGUUCAAUGGUCUAGUGGGUAGGAUUUUUGUCUUACAC
This 38-nucleotide transfer RNA is filed under the name Moniliophthora perniciosa FA553. Its description in RNAcentral is "tRNA-Val". Lineage: Eukaryota; Fungi; Basidiomycota; Agaricomycetes; Agaricales; Marasmiaceae. The record is from RNAcentral.